RNAcentral lists this long non-coding RNA (1895 nucleotides) under Mus musculus (house mouse). RNAcentral's name for it is "predicted gene, 29773". The record is from RNAcentral. Lineage: Eukaryota; Metazoa; Chordata; Mammalia; Rodentia; Muridae.
ACUGCCUAACGGGCAUCAGCUCUGUGGCUUUGCCUGUGCCCUGGGCCAGGACCUGGAACUGUUAAAAAGAAGCAAGCAGCAAAUGCAGACUAUGGUCAGCUUUGGGGGUGCUUACAUUUGGGGCAUGGAUGUAGGGAGAAUUGUCCAGGUGACUGGACCUCAUCGGGCCGGGCUGUACAUACCGCCCCAGACUCUCGAAAGCUCUUGCUUAUCCCACUAUGCAGAUUUCUCAGCUUUGCGUGACAGCAUAAAGUGGACCUUGAACGCAGUGGUUUGCGAACUACAGGAAACCUGCGGCCCCACACCUGGCGCAGCAGCAGGCAGGGCUGGUAUUGGACAACCAGUUGGGGAGCGAGGCAACCUGUUUUGUUUUGCUGCCUCUUUGGACCGAGGGAGGCUGGAGAAGGGCAGCUACACAGAAGCAAGGGUGACUUCAGGUGGAAGAGGAGGAGGAAAUACCUUACAGCUGAAAAAGAGCAUCAGGGCCCCUCCUUUUAUAUCGCGGCUCCCAUAUAAAGCAUAGAAAACCUGGUUGCUGCAGACAAAACAGACUUCAGGUUGAUCCAGACCUAAGUUUUUUGGCCUCAAUAUUUUUUUUUAAUAAGCAAAUAUUUACACAAAUUUUAGAAACAACCAUUUCUACAAAUGUCACAUCUGUCCUUGGACAUAAUACUCAUAAUUUGCUUUCAGAACAAACUCAAAGUAAGAGUUGGACUUGAGGCUUCCCAGCUGCUCUGCUCGCAGUAGGUCCGUCACCUCUGGCAAGUACUCGCUGAGCUGGAUGCCUGCAAACAGAAGACACGGUCACUUCUGACGGCUGAAACUCCUCCGCACAUGAGCAGUACAGCAGCCAGUACUGCUAAGUCACUGAGCGAACAUGCCCACACUGCAGCCUCCUCCCAUUCAGAGCCCUCAGGGGAAUGGCAGCCUCUUCAGAGCCUCAGAGCCCUGCAGGUUCCUAUUGGUCAGAGCAGAUGCUCCAGAGGAAAUCUUCAGUAGAAUCUGAAAUUUUUUUUUCCCUACAGUUUAAGACAUUUCUUCAAUGUGUAAGUUUUCAACUAAUAGUCAUUUCUAUGUUGCCCUAAUGGGGGAAUAAUUUAAUAGAAACACUGUCACAAAGCUGGCCACAGGACUGCAAGGGUGUUAAAACUUAACCAGGGUGCCUGUCCUUCCAGCACUCGGGAUGCUGAAGGAGAAGGGUGCCUUGAACCUGACAGCCAGCCAAGAGCAGCCUGGGCAGCACAGGAAGCCUUUGUCCCAAAGAAAUGAACACACGGGCUGGAGAGAUGGCUCAGUGGUUAAGAGCACUGACUGCUCUUCCAAAGGUCCUGAGUUCAAAUCCCAGCAACCACUUGGUGGCUCACAACCAUCUGUAAUGAGAUCUGAUGCCCUCUUCUGGGGUGUCUGAAGACAGCUACAGUGUACUUAUAUACAAUAAAUAAAUUAAAAAAAAAAAGAAUUUUUUAAAAAAAGAAAAGAAAUGAACACACACACACACACACACACACACACACACACACACACACACUGAGGUCAGGCACCAGGACAUAGGGAUCAGUAGACAGGAAACAGCCACCAGGGGACGAUUGAGUCACACGAUCACAACACUGACAAAGACAAUGGACAAGGCUUGAAAUGAGCAGCGCCACAUCACUUGUUACAUUGCUAUCAGGCUCUCUUUACUGUUGGUUUGGUUCUUUGAGGCAGGGUUUCUCUGUGUAGACCUGGCUGUCCUGGACCUGCUUUGUAGACCAUGCUGGACUUGUGCUCACAGACUGCAUCUACCUCCGGAGUGCUGCGAUUGAAGGCGUGUACCACCAUGCCAGGUGACUAUGGUUUUAAAGAAGAUCCUCGAGAGGAGGCACUUGUCAAGUAAAAGUCUUCUUAAUCUAUCU